This 253-nucleotide ribosomal RNA is filed under the name uncultured bacterium. RNAcentral's name for it is "partial 16S ribosomal RNA". It matches the Rfam family "Bacterial small subunit ribosomal RNA", at positions 524 to 776 of the family's 1533-position model. The record is from RNAcentral.
AACGUAGGUGGCAAGCGUUAUCCGGAUUUACUGGGCGUAAAGCGUGUGCAGGCGGGGGUACAAGUGGUGUAUGAAAUUUCCCAGCUUAACUGGGAAGGGUUAUGCCAGACUGUACUUCUGGAGCGCGAUAGAGGAGGGCGGAAUUCCUGGUGUAGCGGUGAAAUGCGUAGAUAUCAGGAGGAACACCGGCGGCGAAGGCGGCCCUCUGGAUCGUUGCUGACGCUGAGACGCGAAAGCGUGGGGAGCAAACAGG